AACGAACGCUGGCGGCAUGCCUAACACAUGCAAGUCGAACGAUGCCUUCGGGCAUAGUGGCGCACGGGUGCGUAACGCGUGGGAAUCUGCCUUUCGGUUCGGAAUAACUCAGGGAAACUUGAGCUAAUACCGGAUAACGUCGCAAGACCAAAGAUUUAUCACCGAAAGAUGAGCCCGCGUAGGAUUAGCUAGUUGGUGAGGUAAAGGCUCACCAAGGCGACGAUCCUUAGCUGGUCUGAGAGGAUGAUCAGCCACACUGGGACUGAGACACGGCCCAGACUCCUACGGGAGGCAGCAGUGGGGAAUAUUGGACAAUGGGCGAAAGCCUGAUCUAGCAAUGCCGCGUGAGUGAUGAAGGCCUUAGGGUUGUAAAGCUCUUUUACCCGGGAAGAUAAUGACGGUACCGGGAGAAUAAGCCCCGGCUAACUCCGUG
RNAcentral lists this ribosomal RNA (433 nucleotides) under uncultured bacterium. RNAcentral's name for it is "partial 16S ribosomal RNA". It matches the Rfam family "Bacterial small subunit ribosomal RNA", at positions 29 to 507 of the family's 1533-position model. The record is from RNAcentral.